Molecule: non-coding RNA, 23 nt
Filed under: Arabidopsis thaliana (thale cress)
Lineage: Eukaryota; Viridiplantae; Streptophyta; Magnoliopsida; Brassicales; Brassicaceae
Source: RNAcentral
CCUGUGUUUUGUUUGAUUCAUGC